CAGCAAGAGCAAGAGCACCCCUGUCAUGGCGUCGCGGUGAUGAUGCUCGCCCGGCAAUCCUUCCACAUUUUCCGCCAUUUCCCGAUUUCGGGCGCCCAGCCGUACACGUGAACUAACAGAGUCUUGGCUUCAGGGCAGGUCGCUGAAAUGGUCCGCGAGACAGUGGCUGGCGAGGGAGAAGGAGGAAGAGGAGGAGGAGGAGGAAUGACCAAGAGGAGGGAAGAGACAAGAGGCCAAGCAGUGCAGAGGAGGAGAAGAAGGAGGAAGAAGAAGAGGAGGAUGUGACCUCUAUACAUAAAGGCAGAACUAUAUAUAGAAGCUUAUGGAGUAGAGGAAAUAUGUCAAUCUAUGGAGAAGGAGGAGGAGGAGGAGGAGGAGGAGAAGGUUAACUUGUAAAUAUAGGCAGUUUAUAUACCAAGGAAAAUAUUUAAAUGAUUUGUAUUAUGCAUCUAUUUAAAUGUACGUUAUGCACUUAAAUGUAUGUCUGUAUAAGGUUGUGGGAUUUACUUAUAUUGUCUGUGGUAUUUUUUUUACUUAUAAGGUUGUACUGAGGAUUUUACUUAUAAGAUCUAUGGCUGUAUGGAACUCCUACAAACCCUUUCUACUAUGGCUAUUAAUUAACAAAAACCUCUUAGUUUCAGCUUGUGUACAGGGUUAAAAUAUAGUUAAUGUUAGAGUUGGAAGUGUCUGACAGUCCCAUCUCUUUCUUACAGGCCAAGCAGGAAGAAGAAGGAGGAAGAAGAAGAAGAAGAAGAAGAAGAAGGAGGAGGAGGAGGAGGAGGAAGAAGAAGGAGGAGGAGGAGGCAACUUAUAAAUAUAGACAAGUUUAUGUGUCUAGGAAAAUAUUUAAAUGAUCUGUAUUAUGUAAAGUAUUGAAUUUAAAAUAUAUCUACUAAUAAUUUCUAUGCAUGUUUACAGGGUUACAUAUUUAAGCUGUAAUAUAAUUUACAUGUAUUUAAAUGGGGUUUUAAGUAUAAGGUGUUUGGUAUUGCUAUACUUAUAAAAUCUUUGGUUUUUGGGUAUAUAAUUCUAAGUAAGUGUUUCCCUACGUUAUUUAAGUGUAAAGUAAGUGUGUAAGGUAUUAAGUUAUAUAUUAAAGUGUGUACCGGGUUCUCUAAUAAGUGUGUAGUGAUGGGAAGUAUUUAAGUGUAAUGUAUAAAGGUUACAUAUAUAUAUAUAUAUAAGUAUUUAAGUGGGAGCAGCAAGUAGUGGGCUGUAUUUUUCUACACUUUUUUGCCCUUGAAAAAAAAAUACUGUGAAAUCUUUAAGUGUACUGUAUGAAGGCUAUACAUUUAUAAGUAUGUGUAACGUCCUGUGGGAGCUAACUAAUGUAAGGGUGAUUUCAUAAGUGUUACCGUAGUGGUGUGACUUAAUCAGCAACCUCUACUGCAAUUAGUCUGAGUACAAUUACUGGUUCUGGUACUCUGAGUAUAAACAAAACCUUUUAAUUUCAGUUACCAAGGACAACCUCUGCUGCUCUGGGUAUCAACUCCUGCACUCCUGGGACUGGUGUAACAUCUGCAUGCCCUCGUAAUAACUCACUCUGCUUCUGCUAUUCGUAACACCUCGCUCUGCGCCUGCUGUCGUACUAACUCCUGCUCGCUUAACCCGCAUGGAUUUUGUAUAACACCUAUAGUUUUCGUGUGACGGUUCUCUUCACUCUUCCUUCAUAACUAAUCGCACGGCUUUGCAUAAAAACUCCGGCAACUUACGGCUUAAAUUUCGCAUGAGAACUACUCCUGCUUACGUAUGACAAUUCUCUCUGGCUUUCCUAACAAUUCAUGGAUUUUGCAUAACCCCAUUCCAUUUCCGCUGUCAUGCUAACCCAUACUAAUGCUGGCUGGAGUAUCCUAACCCAUAGUCUAAGCUGCCGGCCAGAGCUUCAGGUGACCCCUAACUUGAAGCCUGUCGGAUCAGCGUCUAGCGAGGGAGGUUCCGUCAGGUUCCGUUCACCCCUAGAGCUGUCUCCCUUCACCUUAAAAAAAUAGUUUGACAUCAUUUGAGAGCAGCAGUACAGGCCAGGUAUCAGAGAGGGGUUCAGGCCUAUAUGGGGGCAUCUCCGUUAGGCUUGUACCUCAAAAAAUAAAAGAUUGAAAAUUAAAAAAGACUGUAUGUGAGAAUCCUGACUAUGGAGGGAGAUUAUCCUCAAACACGUACGGUUAUAUAUAUGUGUCUUUUACCCACCCAUGCGUGCAGUACGGUUGAACAUUAGAACGUAAGAACAUGGUGGUGGUGGUGGUGGUAGGGGAUCAUGUUUCUUAAUGGUCCCUCUAAGCGAGAAAAAUUAGAAAAAAUCAUCACUCACACAAACCAUUUCAUAAUACAUAUCCAAGCAUUUGUCAUCAGAUUAUGUAUCAUCUAUUUUGGGGGGUUUAUAUCAUGGCACAAAUUUGGCCCGUCGCUGCUACACGGUAAAGCCACAAAUUUGGCCCGUCACUGCUACACGGUAUAGCCACAAAUUUGACCCGUCGCUGCUACCGUAUUAAAAAGCAUUACCAAGCACAUCAGACGCCCGGGAAACAUACUAUACACUAUGAAAGCCUUACCAAGCACAUGCAACCUCUACCAAGCCUUACCUCAUAAAAUAAUCUACCAAUUAAUAUAUUUCCCUGGUCUAACAGUCUACAUUUUCAGGACUCGUAUUUAUAUAUUUAUUUUUAUUGUGUUAUUUUAGUGUUGUUGUAUGUCUGUUUAUUGAGGGGACUGUUUGGGUCUUGUAUUUUCUGUUGUAUAUUUCCAAGGCCAAAAAGGUCAGUAAUUGGGUUCUCAAUGAUGUUUUUUUAGGUUGAUGGUACAGAGGAAGGGUCAUAAAAGCACCCUUGUCUGUAACUCCCCUGAAAGCCUUGUCAAAUAUGUGUUUUUUAGGUUCAUGGUACAGAGGAAGGGUCAUAAAAGCACCCUUGUCUGUAACUCCCCUGAAAGCCUUGUCAAAUAUGUGUUUUUUAGGUUGAUGGUACAGAGGAAGGGUCAUAAAAGCACCCCUGUCUGUAACUCCCCUGAAAGCCUUGUCAAAUAUGUGUUUUU
Eriocheir sinensis (Chinese mitten crab) is the source of this 3024-nucleotide long non-coding RNA. RefSeq lists it as uncharacterized. NCBI's taxonomy places the organism in Eukaryota, Metazoa, Arthropoda, Malacostraca, Decapoda, Varunidae. The record is from RefSeq and is a predicted model, not a curated record. The transcript has 5 exons.